Molecule: long non-coding RNA, 200 nt
Organism: Priapulus caudatus
Lineage: Eukaryota; Metazoa; Priapulida; Priapulimorpha; Priapulimorphida; Priapulidae
Exons: 2
Source: RefSeq, a predicted model, not a curated record
GCUUCAAGCGGACCGGUACGUCGACCGGCUCUCUCUUCAGCCGCGACAAUGCCGACGCGACGGAGACGGCGAAGAAGACGCGAGGAUACGAGUACAGAUACAGAGAGGGACAUGAGUACACUCAGCCGAAGACCCUGUACAACUACGACAUCGAGCAACCAGUCUGGGGAUUCGCUGACGUCAAUAACGUCUACACCGGA